GCGGAGGAAAAGAAACCAACAGGGAUUGCCCUAGUAACGGCGAGUGAAGCGGCAACAGCUCAAAUUUGAAAGCUGGCUCCGGCCCGCAUUGUAAUUUGCAGAGGAUGCUUUUGGCGAGGUGCCUUCCGAGUUCCCUGGAACGGGACGCCAUAGAGGGUGAGAGCCCCGUAUGGAUGGACACCAGACCUGUGUAAAGCUCCUUCAACGAGUCGAGUAGUUUGGGAAUGCUGCUCUAAAUGGGAGGUAAAUCUCUUCUAAAGCUAAAUACCGGCCAGAGACCGAUAGCGCACAAGUAGAGUGAUCGAAAGAUGAAAAGCACCUUGAAAAGGGGGUUAAACAGUACGUGAAAUUGUUGAAAGGGAAGCAUUUAUGACCAGACUUGCGCCGGGCAGCUCAUCAGGGGUUCUCCCCUGUGCACUCUGCCCGGCUCAGGCCAGCAUCGGUUCUCGUGGGAGGAUAAGAACAGUGGGAACGUGGCCCCCCUCCGGGGGGGUGUUAUAGCCCAUUGUACGAUACUCUCGUGGGGACCGAGGUUCGCGCUCCGCAAGGAUGCUGGCGUAAUGGUCAUCAAUGACCCGUCUU
RNAcentral lists this ribosomal RNA (582 nucleotides) under Cytospora leucostoma. RNAcentral describes it as "eukaryotic LSU rRNA". It matches the Rfam family "Eukaryotic large subunit ribosomal RNA", at positions 50 to 655 of the family's 3401-position model. The record is from RNAcentral. Lineage: Eukaryota; Fungi; Ascomycota; Sordariomycetes; Diaporthales; Cytosporaceae.